UGUUCCCCUCUCGUCUCGCUCUUCCGGCUUCUUCCUCUAGUCUCUCUCUUUCUGUUCUCCCUUGGCUUUCUCUCUAUCCUUCUUCUCUGAAUCUCCCUCUUAGUUCUAGUUUAUGUUAUUGUAAUGAUUGACUCUUUGAGUUCAUGAAUUAAAUCUGUCAUUUCCCUCGUUUACUUGUGUUGUGAAUUUGGGCAAAUUUAAUUGUUAUCCAAUUUUGGUGGUAAACGGAUUCUUUGUUUAAAAUUUAAAAAUAUCAUGGGGCUUAAACCUUGUGAGGCUGUGGCUUGGGGUUUACACACAAUACCAUGGCAAGAUAUGUUUUUACCUGCGCUUAAUUCUCUCUUGAAAUACAAUGAUAUUAAAGAGACGUUCUCGCAAUUUAACGAAUCAUAAGGUGCAGAAAUGUAAUUACAGAAAGUAAAGCCUAAUACGUUUUUCCAAUCCCAAAGUAUCGUAGUCAGAAGGUAAUGGACGCGAAAUUCAGCGGAAACGCGAGCAAACAGGUGUGUUUUUUUUUUUUAAUUUUUAAAUUCCCCUUCCUUUUGAUUUCCUUUGCUUGAGUUAUUGCUCAUUUGAUGACUAAAACUCAAGACCCUGAAAUUGUAGGUAGAGAAUGCCGAUCAUCUGAGCGAGCCCUUCUUGUCGCAACCAGGUGUGAUCGCUUGACUAAUUAAUCAAAAGAGCUAUAUGCUAUCACUGAGGGGAAAAUAGUGGUUUUCGUUUUGCCAAGUUCGGAGAAAUCAUAGUGUAAAAUUUAGCAGGG
This 763-nucleotide long non-coding RNA is filed under the name Nicotiana tabacum (common tobacco). RNAcentral's name for it is "long non-coding RNA (NTAB_LNC002672)". Lineage: Eukaryota; Viridiplantae; Streptophyta; Magnoliopsida; Solanales; Solanaceae. The record is from RNAcentral.